UCCUCCUUACAGAGGCAGUUUGUUCCGAGUCCCCGACAUUACUCGCUGGUAACAGAACAUGAGGGUUGCGCUCGUUGCGGGACUUAACCCAACAUUUCACAACACGAGCUGACGACAGCCAUGCACCACCUGUGUAUCACCCUCGAAGGCGACACCGUUUCGGGUGCUUGCAGAUACAUGUCAAGCCCUGGUAAGGUUCUUCGCGUUGCAUCGAAUUAAGCCACAUGCUCCACCGCUUGUGCGGGCCCCCGCCAAUUCCUUUGAGUUUCAACCUUGCGGCCGUAGUCCCCAGGCGGUUCACUUAAUGCGUUAGCUGCGGCACCGAGGAUUGCUCCCCAACACCUAGUGAACAUAGUUUAGGGCCAAGACUAC
Molecule: unclassified non-coding RNA, 372 nt
Filed under: uncultured bacterium
Lineage: Bacteria
Description: contains 16S-23S intergenic spacer region
Source: RNAcentral